GACGAACGCUGGCGGCGUGCUUAACACAUGCAAGUCGAACGGAAAGGCCCCUUUUGGGGUACUCGAGUGGCGAACGGGUGAGUAACACGUGAGUAACCUGCCCUUGACUUCGGGAUAACUUCAGGAAACUGGGGCUAAUACCGGAUAGGAAUCCUUGCUGCAUGGUGGGGGUUGGAAAGCUUCGGCGGGUUUGGAUGGACUCGCGGCUUAUCAGCUUGUUGGUGGGGUGGUGGCUUACCAAGGCGUUGACGGGUAGCCGGCCUGAGAGGGCGACCGGCCACAUUGGGACUGAGAUACGGCCCAGACUCCUACGGGAGGCAGCAGUGGGGAAUAUUGCACAAUGGGCGGAAGCCUGAUGCAGCAACGCCGCGUGCGGGAUGACGGCCUUCGGGUUGUAAACCGCUUUCAGCAGGGGCGAAGCUUGUGGUGACGGUACCUGCAGAAGAAGCACCGGCUAACUACGUG
RNAcentral lists this ribosomal RNA (465 nucleotides) under uncultured bacterium. RNAcentral's name for it is "partial 16S ribosomal RNA". It matches the Rfam family "Bacterial small subunit ribosomal RNA", at positions 28 to 507 of the family's 1533-position model. The record is from RNAcentral.